UGCUGCUUCGCUGACGAGUGGCGGACGGGUGAGUAAUGUCUGGGAAACUGCCUGAUGGAGGGGGAUAACUACUGGAAACGGUAGCUAAUACCGCAUAACGUCGCAAGACCAAAGAGGGGGACCUUCGGGCCUCUUGCCAUCGGAUGUGCCCAGAUGGGAUUAGCUAGUAGGUGGGGUAACGGCUCACCUAGGCGACGAUCCCUAGCUGGUCUGAGAGGAUGACCAGCCACACUGGAACUGAGACACGGUCCAGACUCCUACGGGAGGCAGCAGUGGGGAAUAUUGCACAAUGGGCGCAAGCCUGAUGCAGCCAUGCCGCGUGUAUGAAGAAGGCCUUCGGGUUGUAAAGUACUUUCAGCGGGGAGGAAGGGAGUAAAGUUAAUACCUUUGCUCAUUGACGUUACCCGCAGAAGAAGCACCGGCUAACUCCGUGCCAGCAGCCGCGGUAAUACGGAGGGUGCAAGCGUUUAAUCGGAAUUACUGGGCGUAAAGCGCACGCAGGCGGGUUUGUUAAGUCAGAUUGUGAAAU
RNAcentral lists this ribosomal RNA (529 nucleotides) under Escherichia coli. RNAcentral describes it as "bacterial SSU rRNA". It matches the Rfam family "Bacterial small subunit ribosomal RNA", at positions 78 to 601 of the family's 1533-position model. The record is from RNAcentral. Lineage: Bacteria; Pseudomonadati; Pseudomonadota; Gammaproteobacteria; Enterobacterales; Enterobacteriaceae.